This is a long non-coding RNA of Vigna unguiculata (cowpea), 249 nucleotides long. Lineage: Eukaryota; Viridiplantae; Streptophyta; Magnoliopsida; Fabales; Fabaceae. The record is from RefSeq and is a predicted model, not a curated record.
UUUCCUUUUCCCCUCUCUUGUCUCCUACAAGGUGUUCUGCUAGGGCACAACGCUCUUUCGUCUCUGAGCUAACGAAACCCAUUCUACCUCCAAUUUUCAUGUUUCAGCUCACUAUUCUUGUUAAUGGAGCUGUUGUGCUCCUUAGCUUUGGGUUGUUUGCUUUUGCUACUCUAAAUCCAGAUGGAGGAAAUGUUGAAGGUAGACCUGACAGUCGCAACGGUGCAGUUUAGAUGGCAUGUUGUAUGUGGC